Molecule: long non-coding RNA, 1883 nt
Filed under: Apteryx haastii (Great spotted kiwi)
Lineage: Eukaryota; Metazoa; Chordata; Aves; Apterygiformes; Apterygidae
Description: lncRNA (ENSAHAG00000001718.1)
Source: RNAcentral
CACAUCCCCCUCUCACGAAACCCCCCCUCCCGACGUAUCCAUGGAUUCCUCAGCUCCUCCCGCUGCCCGGGCGCCAACGGGGGAGCCAGGGCACCCACGGGUGGCACCGGGGGCACCCACGGGUGACGCCGGGGCCUCACCCGACAGCUUGCUCUUGGCCUCGUGGUCGAUGGGUUGGCUGGAGAGCGAGUUCACCCGGAUCUCGGCCACGGGCACCGCCACGUCCUUCACCACGUUGUGCAGCCCCAGCACCAGGCCCCCCUCGCUCGGGUGCUGCAUCACCUGCGGGAUGGGGUGGCACCCAUGGGUGCCCCGGUAGCCUGACCUGAGCUCUCCCGGCACCCAGAAUGCUCAUUGCGCCUUGAGAGCCCUGAUCGGUGGGGUUCUGGCACCCACCAACCCGAUGCGUGGUGUCCUGGAACCCACCACCCCUUGAGCACCCUAAUCCGUGGUGCCCCGGCACCCACCACCCCCUGGGCACCCUGAUCCAUGGUAUCCUGGCACCCACCACCCCGAUGUGUGGUGUCCUGGAACCCAUCACCCUGAGCACCCUGAUCCGUGGUGCUCUGGCACCCAUCAUCCUGAGCACCCCGAUCUGUGGUGUCCUGGCACCCAUCACCCUGAGCACCCUGAUCCAUGGUGCCCCAGCACCCACCACCCCAUGGGCACCCUGAUCCGUGGUGUCCCGGCACCCACCACCCCUUGAGCACCCUGAUCCGUGGUGCCCCAGCACCCAUCACCCCAUGGGCACCCUGAUCCAUGGCGUCCUGGCACCCACCACCCCGUGAGCACCCUGAUCCAUGGUGUCCUGGCACCCAUCACCCCAUGGGCACCCUGAUCCAUGGUGUCCUGGCACCUACCACCCUGAUCCGUGGUGCCCCAGCACCCACCACCCCAAGCACCCCGAUCCGUGGUGUCCUGGCACCCACCACCCCGAUGCGUGGUGUCCUGGAACCCAUCACCCUGAGCACCCUGAUCUGUGGUGCCCCAGCACCCACCACCCCAUGGGCACCCUGAUCCGUGGUGCCCUGGCACCCAUCACCCUGAGCACCCUGAUCCGUGGUGCCCCAGCACCCACCACCCCCCAAGCACCCCAAUCCAUGAGCACCCUGAUCUGUGGUGUCCUGGCACCCACCACCCCAGGCACCCCAAUCCAUGAGCACCCUGAUCCAUGGUGUCCUGGCACCCACCACCCCAGGCACCCCAAACCUUGGUGCCCUAGCACCCAGCACCCCACCACCCCAUGGGCACCCUGAUCCGUGGUGCUCUGGCACCUACCACCACCCCAAGCACCCCCAUCUGUGGUGCCCCAGCACCCAGCACCCCCUGGGCACCCUGAUCCGUGGUGUCCUGGCACCCACCACCCUGAUCCGUGGUGCCCUGGCACCCACCACCCCUUGAGCACCCCAAUCCGUGGUGCCCCAGCACCCACCACCCCAAGCACCCCGAUCCGUGGUGUCCUGGCACCCACCACCCUGAGCACCCCGAACCAUGGUGCCCCAGCACCCCACCACCCCCUGGGCACUCUGAUCCGUGGUAUCCUGGCACCCACCACCCCCUGGGCACCCUGAUCCGUGGUGUCCUGGCACCCACCACCCCGAUCUGUGGUGCCCUGGCACCCACCACCCCUUCAGCACCUCAAUCUGUGGUGCCCCAGCACCCCACCACCCCAUGGGCAGCCUGAUCCAUGGUGCUCUGGCACCUACCACCACUUGAGCACCCUGAUCUGUGGCGUCCUGGCACCCAGCACCCCAAACACCCCAAUCCGUUGUGCCCCAGCACCCCGAGCACCCCGAUCCGUGGUGCCCCAGCACCCCACCACCCCUUGAGCACCUCCAUCUACGGUGCUCCAGCACCCUCCAAACACCCCAAACCUUGGUACC